Melospiza melodia melodia is the source of this 205-nucleotide long non-coding RNA. RefSeq lists it as uncharacterized. The transcript is spliced from 3 exons. The record is from RefSeq and is a predicted model, not a curated record. Lineage: Eukaryota; Metazoa; Chordata; Aves; Passeriformes; Passerellidae.
AGAGUGUGCAACCUGUGUGAAAUAUGAUUGCUCAUUUGGAACAUAACCAGAAAGUAAUGGCAAAGUCGUGUCUCAUUUAAAAGAUUGUGGUUUCUUUAAUGAUGAGGCCAGGAGCCCAUGAAGACUACUGAAACACACUAAUACCCACAGGCCUCUGUUUGCAUAGGUCUCCAGGAGUUCAUUCCAAGAUUCCCUGAAGGAAAAG